UCGUACAACCGAGGUGCCAGGGCUGUCGCUGACCCUUCAAAGGUCGUGCACGCCCGAGCACUCUCGCACAAUCCAUCUCACCCCCUUUGUGCAUCACCGCGUGGGUCCUCCCUUUUGCGGGAGGGUUCGCGUUUUCACAUAAAACUCGAUACAGUCUAGAAUGUUUUGUUUUUGCGGUCACACGCAAUCAAUA
RNAcentral lists this unclassified non-coding RNA (193 nucleotides) under uncultured Russulaceae. RNAcentral describes it as "sequence contains ITS1". Lineage: Eukaryota; Fungi; Basidiomycota; Agaricomycetes; Russulales; Russulaceae. The record is from RNAcentral.